RNAcentral lists this ribosomal RNA (779 nucleotides) under uncultured Neocallimastigales. RNAcentral's name for it is "partial large subunit ribosomal RNA". It matches the Rfam family "Eukaryotic large subunit ribosomal RNA", at positions 24 to 616 of the family's 3401-position model. The record is from RNAcentral. Lineage: Eukaryota; Fungi; Neocallimastigomycota; Neocallimastigomycetes; Neocallimastigales.
UACGACUACAUAUCAGGCAUAUCAAUAAGCGGAGGAAAAGAAACUAACUAGGAUUCCCUCAGUAACGGCGAGUGAAGCGGGAAGAGCUCAAAUUUGAAAUCUUCAAGGUGUUACCUUGACGAAUUGUAGUUUAAAGAAGUGUUUUCUGUUGAAGUUUUCGGUAAAAGUUCUUUGGAAUAGGACAUCAUAGAGGGUGAGAAUCCCGUAUUUGACCAGUUAUUUUCAGCUGUGUGAUACACUUUCAAAGAGUCGGAUUGUUUGGGAAUGCAGUCCAAAAUGGGUGGUAAAUUUCAUCUAAAGCUAAAUAUUGGCGAGAGACCGAUAGCGAACAAGUACCGUGAGGGAAAGAUGAAAAGAACUUUGAAAAGAGAGUUAAACAGUACGUGAAAUUGUCAAAAGGGAAGCGUUCGACACCAGUGUUGUUUUCUCGAAAAUCAAUUAAAAAGAGUUGGAUUUUGUGUUGUAUUGACCCUUAACAGCUUGCUUCACUCUUUUCCAGCUUUUUUUAAUGCACUUUUCGUUUAACAAGGUCAACAUUCAGUUUCUUUUGUUGUAAAGGGGUCAUUGGAAGGUGGCUUUCUCUUCGGAGAAAGUGUUUAUAGCCUUUGAUCUCUGCAAUCGGAGAGACUGAGGUCUGCAGCGUAGAUCCUUCGGGGUUAGAUACAUUUGUGCUAAGCUACAGCUUUUCAUAGACAACUUGUUGACUAUGUUUAGUCUUGUGACUUACCCGCUUAUGCUAUUUUACCUACGCUUAGGAUGUUGAGCGCAUGUCUCUCUCU